RNAcentral lists this unclassified non-coding RNA (282 nucleotides) under Hevea brasiliensis (rubber tree). The record is from RNAcentral. Lineage: Eukaryota; Viridiplantae; Streptophyta; Magnoliopsida; Malpighiales; Euphorbiaceae.
AAUUUGGGUUUAUAUAAGUGAUUAUAUUGUUUUACAUAUCAAAAUGACUAGUCAAAUUAAUGUUGCAAUCUAACCAUUUAUAUUUAUCUUUUUAUAUUUAUACUUUACCGACGUGGAAUUUUUAAUCCAACAAGGUUCACCAGGCACAGCCUCAACGCCUCUGAUGGCAAAAGGCUGCAGCAUCAUCCACGAGCAUGCCUGAUUGCCUAAGGUGCACAUCUUGUGCCAAGUGCGAGGUGUACCAAAGGCGCACUUCGGCUAGAUUCCAGUCCAUCUUAAAUC